AGGACCUGACUAUGAUAUUCUCUGUUCUGCAACAGUAGACUAUGGGCACCAGUUGUUUAUAAGCCUGGAUGUGUUUAUGUUGAAAACGGAUAGCAGUGACUAAACUAGAUUACUAAGUCUGACGAGGCAUGUGCGCAUUCAGUAAGGUUUGCCAUCACGAUAAGCUUCACCAACUAGAUAAAGAUGGUUUAUGUGAUAUCCACCUGGUACUAAAGCCACCUUGCGCUGCACUAAGUAAUCAUAUGAUGAGAUAGCUACAAGAAGAUGCUCCUAAAUCAUAGAAAUUUAAGUUGUUGAUCGAAGAAAAUAAUAUAUUGGUGGUAUGUACGAGCAACAGACCAGCGAGGAUGAGAAAUGGUGCGUGGCAGUGGUGAGUGGUGACCCUGGCCAGUCUUUGCUGGGGUGGUGCGUGAGGCGGAGUGAUGCAGGGCGCGCUGGUGCCUGUGAAGGACUUUUGACACAGAAAUUUCGUAUCGUCAGCAUUGAGAGUUCGAGAGCAGCUGCUGGACAUGACGGAGCAGAAAUGCCACGUGUACCUCGGUGGGAUCCAGACCAUGCACUACAGAACAUUCGAAGACAAGAUAGGACUUCCAGGAAUGCUGGGCACUGUAGUAGGGGAUGUGAAACCCUUCUGUGGGAGCCGGAAGAUAGGACUUCCAGGAAUGCUGGGCACUGUAGUAGGGGAUGUGAAACCCUUCUGUGGGAGCCGGAAGAUAGGACUUCCAGGAAUGCUGGGCACUGUAGUAGGGGAUAUGAAACCCUUCUGUGGGAGGCAGGAGGGAUGUGUGACAGUGUUUGGAAGGCAGGAGGGAUGUGUGACAGCAUCUGGAAUGUGCAGGCUGGGUGUUGAAAGCUAUGGGUUAGAGAGUUUGACCUCCACUGAAGUGUAAGGGUGUUGGAACUUGUUAGGGAAAGGAUGAGAAGAGAAUAAGAGAAUAAGAGCAGGCAAGGAUGGAGUGAUGGAGUCUGUGACGGAAGGGAUAAGAGGUGAAUGAGAGAAUUUGAACAAGUAAGGAUGGAAACAAAUGAAGGAUGGAGUGAUGGAGUGUGUGAGGGAGAGGAUAGGAAGGGAAUAAGAAGACUUAAACAUGCAAGGAUGGAAAUAAAUGAAGGAUGGAGUAUGUGAAGGAGACAAGAUGAGAGAAAGAAAAUUAGAACAUUCAAGGUGGAAACAGAUAGAGGAUGGAGUGAUGGAGUGUGUGAGGAAGAGGAAGAGGACAAGGAAGAAUCAGAGGGUUGGAGCAUGGAUGGAGGAAAUACAAGGACAGGAAUAAACAGAUGGAUAAAUAAAUAGAGAAAGUAAAGGAGGCUUGGAAAAUAUUAAACUGUUGAGGAAAUGUAGGAGAGCUGGAAAGUACUUGAUAGAAUAAUGACAUUACAAAAAGUAAUUAGUGACGUGACAGAUCUGGUGAUAUAAAAAGUUGAAAAUGAAUGAAAAUAUUGAUGAUGCUAUUGUUAAUGAUGUGUUGAUUGUAAUGCAGCACAAUCUGCCACCAGGAAAGCCUUCAGGUUGUUGAGAAAUGAGCCAAGAAUCUUCAGGGAGACCGCAUCAAACAGUAUGCUCAACGCUAACACCUAUAGAUAUGUGCUCUAGGUAGGUCUAUCUACUUCUGUCUCUGCACCGACACACGUCCUCCCUGCACGAGUGUCCUCAGCAAAGUGUCCCUGUCGUCCUCAGCUAGUGCCUGGCUUCCUGCCCUGUCCAUCGUCAUCCAUUAGCGACGGCGUUAAGGCCGGCCUCAUCUCAGCCUCAUGUCAUAGCAAGCAUCCUUCAUCUCCUUACAUCAACAUUAUCUCAACACCGACCGUACAAGAAACUCGCUGACUUAGGCCUCGUCCUGAUCCUCGCCCUCACCGCCAGGUCCUUUCCUUCCUCAAUGACAAACUCGCUUGCACAACAACAACUUCUUUCACCCGCUUGAUGGUAACAAUGUGUAUGAAUGUGUAUGCAUGUAAUUAACGUUAAUUUAUAUCUUUUUGUGUGUGAUUGUGUAUAUCUUUGAAAACGAUCAUUCACAUCAAAGCGUGAUUGCUCUCUGUGUGACAAUGGCUCAACUCAAGCAAGUCUGCACGAGCUGCGGCUCAACACACUUCGCUAGAAAAGGCAAAUGUUACAGUAAUUCUUGUAUUAAUAUUAUAAAGCAAUAAACUUUACUUACUUACCUACACACACACACACACACACACACACACACACACACACACACACACACACACACACACACACACAUGAAAAAAAAU
Molecule: long non-coding RNA, 2241 nt
Organism: Scylla paramamosain (green mud crab)
Lineage: Eukaryota; Metazoa; Arthropoda; Malacostraca; Decapoda; Portunidae
Exons: 3
Source: RefSeq, a predicted model, not a curated record